This 244-nucleotide ribosomal RNA is filed under the name Vibrio parahaemolyticus. RNAcentral describes it as "partial 16S ribosomal RNA". It matches the Rfam family "Bacterial small subunit ribosomal RNA", at positions 1 to 231 of the family's 1533-position model. The record is from RNAcentral. Lineage: Bacteria; Pseudomonadati; Pseudomonadota; Gammaproteobacteria; Vibrionales; Vibrionaceae.
AAAUUGAAGAGUUUGAUCAUGGCUCAGAUUGAACGCUGGCGGCAGGCCUAACACAUGCAAGUCGAGCGGAAACGAGUUAUCWGAACCUUCGGGGAACGAUAACGGCGUCGAGCGGCGGACGGGUGAGUAAUGCCUAGGAAAUUGCCCUGAUGWGGGGGAUAACCAUUGGAAACGAUGGCUAAUACCGCAUGAUGCCUACGGGCCAAAGAGGGGGACCUUCGGGCCUCUCGCGUCAGGAUAUGCC